ACCAUCCUUUCCUUGGGGUUGCACUACUGUCCAGUGAAUGUCUAGUGAGGGCAGUACUGCUAACACUUAGACAAAGAUAAUAAACAAUCUAAAGCAAA
This is a small nuclear RNA of Jaculus jaculus (lesser Egyptian jerboa), 98 nucleotides long. Lineage: Eukaryota; Metazoa; Chordata; Mammalia; Rodentia; Dipodidae. The record is from Ensembl.